RNAcentral lists this ribosomal RNA (277 nucleotides) under uncultured bacterium. Its description in RNAcentral is "partial 16S ribosomal RNA". It matches the Rfam family "Bacterial small subunit ribosomal RNA", at positions 29 to 333 of the family's 1533-position model. The record is from RNAcentral.
AACGAACGCUGGCGGCAGGCCUAACACAUGCAAGUCGAACGCUCCAGCAAUGGAGAGUGGCAGACGGGUGAGUAACACGUGGGAACCUUCCCUUUGGUUCGGAAUAGCCCAGGGAAACUUGGGGUAAUACCGGAUAAGCCCUUGCGGGGAAAGAUUUAUCGCCGAAGGAUGGGCCCGCGUCGGAUUAGCUAGUUGGUGGGGUAACGGCCUACCAAGGCGACGAUCCGUAGCUGGUCUGAGAGGAUGAUCAGCCACACUGGGACUGAGACACGGCCCA